RNAcentral lists this transfer RNA (66 nucleotides) under Magelona mirabilis. RNAcentral describes it as "tRNA-Asp". The record is from RNAcentral. Lineage: Eukaryota; Metazoa; Annelida; Polychaeta; Spionida; Magelonidae.
AAAAAACUAGUUAAUAUAUAUAAUACUGGCUUGUCAAGCCAAAGUUACUGAAACCAGUGUUUUUUG